Molecule: long non-coding RNA, 1465 nt
Filed under: Homo sapiens (human)
Lineage: Eukaryota; Metazoa; Chordata; Mammalia; Primates; Hominidae
Description: PREDICTED lncRNA (TCONS_00188981)
Rfam family: SOX2 overlapping transcript exon 3 (bases 603-878)
Source: RNAcentral
GUCGUAAAAGGGGACGCGGAGGAGAAGGAAAGUCGCUCAAGCAGUGGACAGAGCGGAGAAAGCGACUUCGGGUUGGUUGAAGGUUCAGCCUGAGAAAACUCCUGAGCAUGUGCGAAAAAGAAAAGAAGAAAAGAAAAGUAAAGAAAAGAAAAAAGGAAAAAGGGCAAGCUCCUGAGUGGAUCUCUCAGGGAGCCACCAGACAGUGAAUGAAGGAGGGAAGAAAGGAGAGACAGAGAAAAUAUGGAUUUCCUCAUGGUUGUGAUUCCUCUUCACUCUUUUGAAUUUGGAAGGAUGGCAUACACAUCUGAAAAAUACCACUACUUCCUUCAUUGGACUGCAAGGUAUUUCUGUUUGGAAAAGUAAUGGAGUCCAGUCAACUUCAUUGAUCGCCAAGGACUGUCAAAAUUAUAAAACUUGCUGUGGAGCUCUGACAUGCCAGAAGCCGCUAGAAAAAGAAGUUUGACAUUCAGAAACUUAUCAAGAGGUUCUACUCUUUGGAUAGAGACCAAAAUCAUACUUUGAAAAAGCCUGACAGGUUUCUUCGGAAAAGUGGCCAUCCAUGGAAUGAAUGAAAUGUUCUCUUUCUAUUCCAGGGAUUGCAGUGGCAAAGCUAGGCUAGGUCUUGGAGGCUGGUGUAAGGCGAUGUGGGUGAAGGCAGGAGGCUGAUGGAAAGACUGGGGGGAAGAAAAGCCGAAAUGGAUUCACGGUGCCUUGGAUGAAGGACGAGAGGGGAACUGCAAGCUCCUUCAACUGGUUCUGUCCGGUGAGAAGUGAUCAAGCUUGGGCUGACAAGAGGCUCAGGGAGCCCUCACGUUCUUUCGCUUUUUUACCUGCCAAUCAAACUGCUACAAGACAACACCCUGAUCUGGCAUGGACAUCGCGGGUCCAAGCCUGUAGCCCCAAAUCGGAUAAUCUCUGCAGCUGAUAACAAGCAAAAGAGAAGCCAGGCAACAGCCAUAUUAAAGAAGAAAACAAUCAACUCUGAGUCAUUGCAGUCACCUGGAGUCACGGAAAUGACCAUGAUUGCCUGAACUUUCAUGACUUCUGUGGAUAACUGUGGUUGCAGAAAAGAGAAAACCUGGACCGUGAGGGACAUUUCACUCCCUGGGCUUUGGUACAUGGUACAUGUGUGGUUGGAUGUGUGUUGCCAGAAAACAGCCUGCCAUGUCUGAGGCUAUGCUCCCAGACUAGCAGCCUGGGUUACAGGGGAAGAGCUGAAGUUGGGUUGGGGAAGUUUAAUAUACUAUACUUUUAAAAUUUUUUUACUUUUGGCUAAUAUUUAUCUAUUUAUUUAUUUUUAUUUUUUGUAGAGACAGGGUUUUGCCAUGUUGCCCUGGCUGGUCUCAAACUACUGAGCUUGAGAAUCUGCUUGUCUUGGCCUCCCAAAGAGCUAGGAUUACAGGCAUGAGCCAUCGAGCCUGGCUCCUUUUAUUCUUUUCAUGACACUACCUCUUCCUAGGAGAGG